GAUGAACGCUGGCGGCGUGCCUAAUACAUGCAAGUCGAGCGAACAGAUGAGAAGCUUGCUUCUCUGAUGUUAGCGGCGGACGGGUGAGUAACACGUGGGUAACCUACCUAUAAGACUGGGAUAACUCCGGGAAACCGGGGCUAAUACCGGAUAAUAUUUUGAACCGCAUGGUUCAAUAGUGAAAGACGGUUUCGGCUGUCACUUAUAGAUGGACCCGCGCCGUAUUAGCUAGUUGGUAAGGUAACGGCGUACCAAGGCGACGAUACGUAGCCGACCUGAGAGGGUGAUCGGCCACACUGGAACUGAGACACGGUCCAGACUCCUACGGGAGGCAGCAGUAGGGAAUCUUCCGCAAUGGGCGAAAGCCUGACGGAGCAACGCCGCGUGAGUGAUGAAGGUCUUCGGAUCGUAAAACUCUGUUGUUAGGGAAGAACAAAUUUGUUAGCAACUGAACAAGUCUUGACGGUACCUAACCAGAAAGCCACGGCUAACUACGUGCCAGCCGCCGCAGUAA
This 514-nucleotide ribosomal RNA is filed under the name uncultured bacterium. RNAcentral's name for it is "partial 16S ribosomal RNA". It matches the Rfam family "Bacterial small subunit ribosomal RNA", at positions 28 to 523 of the family's 1533-position model. The record is from RNAcentral.